CCUACGGGAGGCAGCAGUGGGGAAUUUUGGACAAUGGGCGCAAGCCUGAUCCAGCAAUGCCGCGUGAGUGAAGAAGGCCUUCGGGUUGUAAAGCUCUUUUGUCAGGGAAGAAACGGUGAGGGCUAAUAUCUCUUGCUAAUGACGGUACCUGAAGAAUAAGCACCGGCUAACUACGUGCCAGCAGCCGCGGUAAUACGUAGGGUGCAAGCGUUAAUCGGAAUUACUGGGCGUAAAGCGUGCGCAGGCGGUUUUGUAAGUCUGUCGUGAAAUCCCCGGGCUCAACCUGGGAAUUGCGAUGGAGACUGCAAGGCUAGAAUCUGGCAGAGGGGGGUAGAAUUCCACGUGUAGCAGUGAAAUGCGUAGAGAUGUGGAGGAACACCGAUGGCGAAGGCAGCCCCCUGGGUCAAGAUUGACGCUCAUGCACGAAAGCGUGGGGAGCAAACAGGAUUAGAUACCCUGGUAGUCCACGCCCUAAACGAUGUCUACUAGUUGUCGGGUUUUAAUUAACUUGGUAACGCAGCUAACGCGUGAAGUAGACCGCCUGGGGAUACGGUCGCAAGAUUAAAACUCAAAUGAAUUGACGG
Molecule: ribosomal RNA, 584 nt
Filed under: uncultured bacterium
Lineage: Bacteria
Description: bacterial SSU rRNA
Rfam family: Bacterial small subunit ribosomal RNA
Source: RNAcentral